This 610-nucleotide ribosomal RNA is filed under the name Tylenchorhynchus sp. TyRhIbe2. RNAcentral describes it as "eukaryotic LSU rRNA". It matches the Rfam family "Eukaryotic large subunit ribosomal RNA", at positions 415 to 861 of the family's 3401-position model. Lineage: Eukaryota; Metazoa; Nematoda; Chromadorea; Rhabditida; Telotylenchidae. The record is from RNAcentral.
GGAAACGGAUAGAGCCAGCGUAUCUGGCCUGCAUCCAACCGUUGGUUCCGUGUCGUCAGGGACGCUGCCUCCAGAUUGGGGUAGUUCCUUGUCCGGCGCGGGACUGAUGGUGCAUUUGCAGGUGGUGUGCGCCGAGGCGCCCGGGACAGCUGCAUGAGCUCAGCCUUGAGGCCAGCCCGCAAGGGUCUGGUACCCGGACUGGGGGAGUGCUGUUUGUUCUGGGUGUGCUUGCCAUGGCAUGGCUUACGGGUUCGGGUGGGCGCCGAGCUGGCAACUGGUUACGGUCGCAUGCGACACGUGCCGGUGGCUAGUUCGGUCCUGUUCGGGCUCUCAUGCCCAAUCUCGGUGUAAAAGCUGGUCAUCUAUCCGACCCGUCUUGAAACACGGACCAAGGAGUUUAUCGUGUACGCGAGUCAUUGGGCGUUCAAAACCCAAAGGCGAAAUGAAAGUGAAGGUAUCCGCAAGGAGCUGACGUGCGAUCCUGUGUGCUUCGGCAUGCAGGCGCAGCAUGGCCCCAUCCCGAUUGCUUGCAAUGGGGUGGAGGUAGAGCGUAUGCGGUGAGACCCGAAAGAUGGUGAACUAUUCCUGAGCAGGAUGAAGCCAGAGGAAA